This 429-nucleotide ribosomal RNA is filed under the name Actinomycetes bacterium. Its description in RNAcentral is "Actinobacteria bacterium partial 16S ribosomal RNA". It matches the Rfam family "Bacterial small subunit ribosomal RNA", at positions 355 to 776 of the family's 1533-position model. Lineage: Bacteria; Bacillati; Actinomycetota; Actinomycetes. The record is from RNAcentral.
UAGGGAAUCUUCCGCAAUGGGCGAAAGCCUGCCGGAGCAACGCCGCGUGAGUGAUGAAGGUCUUCGGAUCGUAAAACUCUGUUAUUAGGGAAGAACAAAUGUGUAAGUAACUAUGCACGUCUUGACGGUACCUAAUCAGAAAGCCACGGCUAACUACGUGCCAGCAGCCGCGGUAAUAAGUAGGUGGCAAGCGUUAUCCGGAAUUAUUGGGCGUAAAGCGCGCGUAGGCGGUUUUUUAAGUCUGAUGUGAAAGCCCACGGCUCAACCGUGGAGGGUCAUUGGAGACUGGAAAACUUGAGUGCAGAAGAGGAAAGUGGAAUUCCAUGUGUAGCGGUGAAAUGCGCAGAGAUAUGGAGGAACACCAGUGGCGAAGGCGACUGUCUGGUCUGUAACUGACGCUGAUGUGCGAAAGCGUGGGGAUCAAACAGG